UUACGGCCAAAUCAUGUUGAAACAUGGGUUCCCGUACGAUCACCGAAGUUAAGCAACGUCGAGCUUAGCCAGUACCUAGAUGGGUGACCGUUUGGGAAUACCAGGUAUUGUG
Molecule: non-coding RNA, 112 nt
Organism: Acanthosepion pharaonis
Lineage: Eukaryota; Metazoa; Mollusca; Cephalopoda; Sepiida; Sepiidae
Source: the annotation of a GenBank genome assembly